RNAcentral lists this transfer RNA (74 nucleotides) under Staphylothermus marinus. Its description in RNAcentral is "tRNA-Lys". It matches the Rfam family "tRNA". From Rfam's summary of the family: Transfer RNA (tRNA) molecules are approximately 80 nucleotides in length. Their secondary structure includes four short double-helical elements and three loops (D, anti-codon, and T loops). Lineage: Archaea; Thermoproteati; Thermoproteota; Thermoprotei; Desulfurococcales; Desulfurococcaceae. The record is from RNAcentral. RNAcentral also lists the same sequence under 1 other name.
GGGCCCGUAGCUCAGCUAGGUAGAGCGGCGGGCUUUUAACCCGUAGGUCCCGGGUUCAAAUCCCGGCGGGCCCG